UUCAUGAUUUGUACAUAGAGUAUUUUGAUAUUUACCUUAAUAUAAAUGGCUUAUUAUUAGUAUUCUAGAGAGUUGCACUUUUCUAUUAGAGCGAUUGUUCUAAGUUAGAGAAUUUCUUCUUUUUCUUUUUAAAAGACAAAAAACUCCACUGGAGAGGAAAUCAAACACAAAAUGAAGACACAAUUCAGAGUUUGAUUUUAUUUUAUCAUGUUUUCUUUUAGUUUC
Molecule: long non-coding RNA, 225 nt
Filed under: Carica papaya (papaya)
Lineage: Eukaryota; Viridiplantae; Streptophyta; Magnoliopsida; Brassicales; Caricaceae
Description: long non-coding RNA (CPAP_LNC013166)
Source: RNAcentral